UGAACGCUGGCGGUAUGCUUAACACAUGCAAGUCGAACGGUAACAGAAGAAGCUUGCUUCUUGCUGACGAGUGGCGGACGGGUGAGUAACGCGUAGGAAUCUGCCCAAAAGUGGGGGACAACGUGGGGAAACCCACGCUAAUACCGCAUAAGCCCUACGGGGUAAAGCAGGGGAUCUUCGGACCUUGCGCUUUUGGAUGAGCCUGCGUUGGAUUAGCUAGUUGGUGAGGUAACGGCUCACCAAGGCAACGAUCCAUAGCUGUUCUGAGAGGAAGAUCAGCCACACUGGGACUGAGACACGGCCCAGACUCCUACGGGAGGCAGCAGUGGGGAAUAUUGGACAAUGGGCGCAAGCCUGAUCCAGCAAUACCGCGUGUGUGAAGAAGGCCUGCGGGUUGUAAAGCACUUUCAAUAGGGAAGAAAAGGGUUUGGAUAAUACCUAAGCUCCUUGACGUUACCUAUAGAAGAAGCACCGGCUAACCCU
Molecule: ribosomal RNA, 483 nt
Filed under: uncultured bacterium
Lineage: Bacteria
Description: bacterial SSU rRNA
Rfam family: Bacterial small subunit ribosomal RNA
Source: RNAcentral